Molecule: ribosomal RNA, 216 nt
Filed under: uncultured bacterium
Lineage: Bacteria
Description: partial 16S ribosomal RNA
Rfam family: Bacterial small subunit ribosomal RNA
Source: RNAcentral
UCGAAGGGGGCUAGCGUUGCUCGGAAUCACUGGGCGUAAAGGGUGCGUAGGCGGGUCUUUAAGUCAGGGGUGAAAUCCUGGAGCUCAACUCCAGAACUGCCUUGAUACUGAGGAUCUUGAGUAUGGGAGAGGUGAGUGGAACUGCGAGUGUAGAGGUGAAAUUCGUAGAUAUUCGCAAGAACACCAGUGGCGAAGGCGCUACUGGCCCAUACUGAC